GUUUAUGGGAUUGUCGUUGUGCCCCGCAUGGAGCCCCAGUUAUGUCCCGCAUCGAUUCCCAGGUGUAGCCCCCCUGGCUUUGAAAAGGACACGGAGGAGCUGGAGCGUGUCCAGCGAUUUGUGAAAGGGCUGGGGAAGAUGUGUGAGAACGGCUGGGGGAGCUGGGUUUGUUUAAUCCCGAGGAAGAUGAGAGCAAAGAUACAGCAAAAACACUGCUUAAAGGGCUGGCUGGGGGUGUUACACUGACUUCUGUUAAAAACGUUUCAAGCUACAGGAGAGUGUAUUACGUUUAAGAAGAUGAACACAGAUGGCCUUGGAUGUGACACUUCAUGGAAAUAAGAUGCAAAAAGUAUUCCAGGGCAUGAAAUCUUCCCAUCUUUUCAGCGAAGCCUUUUUCAGCAAGAAAAGCUGAUUCUUCAGUCCUGGGAUGCAGAGUGUGUUGUCUGUCACUGGGGUUUUAUCCUCAUGCUGAGUUUGGACUGCCUGGCCAAAGGACAGAGAUCUUGUCUUCUCUCACAUUUGGUGAAGUGCAGCUCAAGUGAUCCUGGAACAGAG
This is a long non-coding RNA of Corvus hawaiiensis (hawaiian crow), 555 nucleotides long. RefSeq lists it as uncharacterized. The record is from RefSeq and is a predicted model, not a curated record. The transcript has 3 exons. NCBI's taxonomy places the organism in Eukaryota, Metazoa, Chordata, Aves, Passeriformes, Corvidae.